CCUACGGGAGGCAGCAGUGGGGGAUAUUGCACAAUGGCGGGAACCCUGAUGCAGCGACGCCGCGUGGGUGAAGAAGCGCCUAGGCGCGUAAAGCUCUGUCUGCAGGGAAGAAAAUGACGGUACCUGAAGAAGAAGCCACGGCUAACUACGUGCCAGCAGCCGCGGUAAUACGUAGGGGGCAAGCGUUAUCCGGAUUUACUGGGUGUAAAGGGGGCGCAGACGGGGAUGCAAGCCAGGAGUGAAAGCUCGGGGCCCAACCACGUGACUGCUGUUGGAACUGCGUGGCUGGAGUGCAGGAGGGGCAGGCGGAAUGCGUGGUGUAGCGGUGAAAUGCGUAGAUAUCAGGAGGAACACCGGUGGCGAAGGCAGCCUGCUGGACUGCAACUGACGUUGAGGCCCGAAAGCGUGGGGAGCAAACAGGAUUAGAUACCCGAGUAGUC
Molecule: ribosomal RNA, 440 nt
Filed under: uncultured bacterium
Lineage: Bacteria
Description: partial 16S ribosomal RNA
Rfam family: Bacterial small subunit ribosomal RNA
Source: RNAcentral